Molecule: ribosomal RNA, 253 nt
Filed under: uncultured bacterium
Lineage: Bacteria
Description: partial 16S ribosomal RNA
Rfam family: Bacterial small subunit ribosomal RNA
Source: RNAcentral
UACGGAGGGAGCUAGCGUUGUUCGGAAUUACUGGGCGUAAAGCGCGCGUAGGCGGCUUUGUAAGUUAGAGGUGAAAGCCCCGGAGCUCAAUCCGGAACUGCCUUUAAAACUGCAUCGCUUGAAUCCAGGAGAGGUGAGUGGAAUUCCGAGUGUAGAGGUGAAAUUCGUAGAUAUUCGGAAGAACACCAGUGGCGAAGGCGGCUCACUGGACUGGUAUUGACGCUGAGGUGCGAAAGCGUGGGGAGCAAACAGG